CCAGCGUCAAGUUUUAAUUUCAUUUCGCUCGGGUAACUCUCGUACAUUGUGCGCGCAUGAGCGCAAGCGUUUCCAUACACACACACGCAUACACACACAUAUACGGUGCCUAACGAGAAUCAAGUGCAUUGUACGUGUCUCUACUAGAACGGAAUAUAUUAUAAUAUGUAUAUACGUAUGUAUUCUUCCAACGGAUAAAUGUGGUUUAGUCGACAAGAAAGUAGUUCCGUCAAGAAUGCCUUGCUUAAUUUAAAAUGAAAAUUGAAAUGAUUUAGAUAACGAAAAUGGUUAUUUCCCUACUCGAUCGUCGAGUUAAUAUAACUUUCUUGUUAUUAUAGAUUCGUAUUUAUAUAUGUAUUUAUAUAUAUUUUAGCAGAUACAAGGUGGACUUUCUUUUAUGUGGUCUUUUAUGGCACCACAGUGGUUUCACCAUCACUCACCCAAUUGUUUUGUGCAUGACACCAACGUAGUGCUACCGGCAUUUGUCCGAUAGUUUUUACAUGGUCCCAACAUUGGGCCACCGGACGACAUAGUGUUAAUAUAGUAUCGUUAAAUUCUUUAUGAAUCAGAAAAGCAUGCGUUGAAAAUUAAUUUGAUUUGUUGUUAAAAAAAGAAAGAGAGAUAGAGGAUAAGAGUACAGAUGCAUUGAUGGAUUAAUAAAAUGAAAUAACGGAGGAUAAUUCAAUAAUAGGAAACCAAUUUGAAUGACAAAACAUAUUUAAAACGAAAGACAGGAAGUUUAAACAUGUGAUUCACUCGCAUCAUAAUGUUUACUUUAAACUUGAUUUGAGAAGAAAGAAAAAAAUUACAAAUACAAUUUGUAAUUAAAGCAAAUACAUUAAAGAUACGAAGUACGGUUGUUCGUGGUCAGACAACCAUUUCUGUAAUCAAUUUUUUUCGCAGAAUUCAAAAAUUGCUAUUAGCGAUUUUGUAAAUCGUAUUGUGAAUUUGAAAAAAAAACACGAAGAAAAAGGAAAAACGAUAGAGAGAAAAAUAACGAACACACACAAACACACUUGCACAUAUACAAGAACUCUGUAAUAACUUUCCGCGUGACAAGAUAAAAA
This 1067-nucleotide long non-coding RNA is filed under the name Polistes fuscatus (common paper wasp). Its description in RNAcentral is "uncharacterized LOC122522978". Lineage: Eukaryota; Metazoa; Arthropoda; Insecta; Hymenoptera; Vespidae. The record is from RNAcentral.